GUGNUUGCAGAAUUCAGUGAAUCAUCGAAUCUUUGAACGCACAUUGCGCCCGUCAGUAUUCUGGCGGGCAUGCCUGUUCGAGCGUCAUUACGCCCCUCAAGUCCCCUGUGGACUUGGUGUUGGGGAUCGGCGAGGCUGGUUUUCCAGCACAGCCGUCCCUUAAAUUAAUUGGCGGUCUCGCCGUGGCCCUCCUCUGCGCAGUAGUAAAGCACUCGCAACAGGAGCCCGGCGCGGUCCACUGCCGUAAAACCCCCCAACUUUUUAUAGUUGACCUCGAAUCAGGUAGGACUACCCGCUGAACUUAAGCAUAUCAAUAAGCGGAGGAAG
RNAcentral lists this ribosomal RNA (327 nucleotides) under Metarhizium anisopliae. RNAcentral describes it as "eukaryotic LSU rRNA". The stretch from base 1 to 87 matches the Rfam family "5.8S ribosomal RNA", at positions 67 to 154 of the family's 154-position model. Lineage: Eukaryota; Fungi; Ascomycota; Sordariomycetes; Hypocreales; Clavicipitaceae. The record is from RNAcentral.